UGCAAAUGAUGUUUCUCACGAUGGUCUUCAGACACUUCAUGGUGACAAUAGCCACUGGCUGUUUGCUGAUGCAGUUCA
Small nucleolar RNA from Asterias rubens (European starfish), 78 nucleotides. RefSeq annotates it as small nucleolar RNA SNORD35. NCBI's taxonomy places the organism in Eukaryota, Metazoa, Echinodermata, Asteroidea, Forcipulatida, Asteriidae. The record is from RefSeq and is a predicted model, not a curated record. The transcript has a single exon.